AGUGAACGCUGGCGGUAGGCCUAACACAUGCAAGUCGAACGGCAGCAGAGUAAUAGCGUGCUCUUACGGGUGGCGAGGGGCGGAAGGGUGAGGAAGACAUCGGAAUCUACUUUUUCAUGGGGGAUAACGUAGGGAAACUUACGCUAAUACCGCAUACAACCUACGGGUGAAAGGAGAGGCUCCUCAUACCCUGCGCGAUUGAAUAAGCCGGUGACGGAUUAGCUAGUGGGCGGGGUACAGGCCCACCAAGGCGACGAUCCGUAGCUGGUCUGAGAGGAUGGUAAGGGACACUGGGACUGCGCCACGGGCCAGACUGCGACUGAGGCAAGCAUUAGGCACUAUUGGGCGACGGGAGCAAGGAUGAUCCAGCCAUACGGCGUCGGUGAAGAAGGCCUUGGGGUUCUAAAGCCCUUUUUUUAGGAAAGAAAAGCAGCUGGUUAAGACCACGAUGUUCUGACGGUACCCUAAGAAUAAGCACCGGCUAACUUCGUG
Molecule: ribosomal RNA, 492 nt
Filed under: uncultured bacterium
Lineage: Bacteria
Description: partial 16S ribosomal RNA
Rfam family: Bacterial small subunit ribosomal RNA
Source: RNAcentral